Molecule: long non-coding RNA, 458 nt
Filed under: Carica papaya (papaya)
Lineage: Eukaryota; Viridiplantae; Streptophyta; Magnoliopsida; Brassicales; Caricaceae
Description: long non-coding RNA (CPAP_LNC011759)
Source: RNAcentral
UGUUCCGGAGUAUGGUGGAGUAUUAGUUCCUGAAGAAGAUGCUGAGCAGGCGAAGUGUCAUAGCUAUCAAUCUUUCCCUAACAGAGUUCUUGUGGAUGACAAUGAGCAAGAAGAAGACCAGGGGUUGACUGGCCUUAUGAGAUCAACCUCCAUGAUUCUGGAGAGAGGUGAGAAACGAGAUGCGGAAGAAAAUGAUUUGAGGGAGGAAGCUAAUAGACAGAGUAGCUAUCAAUCUUUCCCUAAUAGAAUUCUUGUGGAUGACAAUGAGCAAGAAGAAGACCAGGGGUUGACUGGCCUUAUAAGGUCAACCUCCAUGAUUCAGGAGAGAGGUGAGAAACGGGCUGCGGAAGAAAAUGAUUUGAGGGAGGUAGCUAAGAGACAGAGAGAAUGGCUUCCCUCGGUGGCUUCCAAGUCUGACGAGUGCUUUAGUAUCCCUUCUGUGAAUGAGAAAGAAGAGA